CCUACGGGAGGCAGCAGUGGGGAAUAUUGCACAAUGGGCGCAAGCCUGAUGCAGCCAUGCCGCGUGUGUGAAGAAGGCCUUCGGGUUGUAAAGCACUUUCAGCGGGGAGGAAGGCGGUGAGGUUAAUAACCUCAUCGAUUGACGUUACCCGCAGAAGAAGCACCGGCUAACUCCGUGCCAGCAGCCGCGGUAAUACGGAGGGUGCAAGCGUUAAUCGGAAUUACUGGGCGUAAAGCGCACGCAGGCGGUCUGUCAAGUCGGAUGUGAAAUCCCCGGGCUCAACCUGGGAACUGCAUUCGAAACUGGCAGGCUAGAGUCUUGUAGAGGGGGGUAGAAUUCCGGGUGUAGCGGUGAAAUGCGUAGAGAUCUGGAGGAAUACCGGUGGCGAAGGCGGCCCCCUGGACAAAGACUGACGCUCAGGUGCGAAAGCGUGGGGAGCAAACAGGAUUAGAUACCCCGGUAGUC
Molecule: ribosomal RNA, 465 nt
Filed under: uncultured Klebsiella sp.
Lineage: Bacteria; Pseudomonadati; Pseudomonadota; Gammaproteobacteria; Enterobacterales; Enterobacteriaceae
Description: bacterial SSU rRNA
Rfam family: Bacterial small subunit ribosomal RNA
Source: RNAcentral